AGCUUUCGCCCCUAUCUGAAAAUUAAGAGAAACUUCCAAUGUUGAAUGCGUGAUUGGUCUUACUGAA
Molecule: small nucleolar RNA, 67 nt
Organism: Drosophila navojoa
Lineage: Eukaryota; Metazoa; Arthropoda; Insecta; Diptera; Drosophilidae
Source: RefSeq, a predicted model, not a curated record